Molecule: ribosomal RNA, 274 nt
Filed under: uncultured bacterium
Lineage: Bacteria
Description: partial 16S ribosomal RNA
Rfam family: Bacterial small subunit ribosomal RNA
Source: RNAcentral
CCGCCGGCGACCGGCGCACGGGUGAGUAACACGUAUGCAACCUGGCCGUGACAGAUGGAUAACCGGGAGAAAUCCCGCCUAAUACAACAUAAUGCCGGGAGGGGACAUCCCCUGCCGGUCAAAGGGGGCGACCCCCGGUCACGGAUGGGCAUGCGGCGCAUUAGGUAGUUGGUGGGGCAACGGCCCACCAAGCCGACGAUGCGUAGGGGUUCUGAGAGGAAGGUCCCCCACAUUGGAACUGAGACACGGUCCAAACUCCUACGGAAGGCAGCAG